Molecule: non-coding RNA, 289 nt
Organism: Pelobates cultripes (western spadefoot toad)
Lineage: Eukaryota; Metazoa; Chordata; Amphibia; Anura; Pelobatidae
Source: the annotation of a GenBank genome assembly
UGGAAGAAAAGUGGGGCAUCCAGACUAAGUUUGAAAAUAAGAGAGUAAGAAAAGUGAAGCGUCACUUUGAACUUUCAAUAAAUGAAAGGUUUCAGGAUCUUGAACAAUGCUUUAAAACCACUGUUUUAUAGGUGUUUAGACAUUGGGACCAAUAAGCUGUCUAACCGAUUUGCUUGAAUGUCAUGCAGAGAUUUAAUAUAAUUCAGCCUACAGUCCUUGCCUCUGAAAUUGAUGAUGAUUUGUUCAAAGCUGCUUCACAGCUACAGGAAUGCUACCCAGAGGACAUAUC